Molecule: unclassified non-coding RNA, 1446 nt
Filed under: uncultured Phaeotrichales
Lineage: Eukaryota; Fungi; Ascomycota; Dothideomycetes; Phaeotrichales
Description: sequence contains 18S rRNA gene, ITS1, 5.8S rRNA gene, ITS2, 28S rRNA gene
Rfam family: Eukaryotic large subunit ribosomal RNA (bases 504-1446)
Source: RNAcentral
GGAAGGAUCAUUAUCAAGAGUGUAUGACCCCUUUAUAAAAUAGUGGGGUUAACCUCCCGUCCUUUGAAGGUCCCUCUUUUGUUGAGGGUAAUUUGAACCCUUCUGCUUCGGUGGGUUUACUCACCGGAACAACCUCAAAAUUCUUGUUCAACAGUUCAGUCCGAGUGGUAUAUUUUAAAUUUUGAAAAACUUUCAACAACGGAUCUCUUGGUUCUGGCAUCGAUGAAGAACGCAGCGAAAUGCGAUAAGUAAUGUGAAUUGCAGAAUUCAGUGAAUCAUCGAAUCUUUGAACGCAUAUUGCACCCUCUGGUAUUCCGGAGGGUACACCUGUUUGAGCGCCAUUUCGAACUUCAAGCAUUAGCUUGGUGUUGGGUAAAGUUCUUAGAAAGUAAAAGGGACUUACCCUUAACUCGUAGGAGGUCAUGACUCACUUCUCCCAGCGUAGCAAGCUUACGCACCUCGCUCGGGGAUAGGAGGUUUGAUCACCCUUAAUGACAAUUGUUUGGCCUCAAAUCAGGUGGGGAUACCCGCUGAACUUAAGCAUAUCAAUAAGCGGAGGAAAAGAAACCAACAGGGAUUGCCUCAGUAACGGCGAGUGAAGCGGCAAUUGCUCAAAUUUAAAAUCUGACUUCCUUUGGGGGUCCGAAUUGUAAUUUGUAGAGGAAGCUUCGGUGAGAAUAUUGACUUAAGUCCCCUGGAACGGGAUGUCAUAGAGGGUGAGAACCCCGUCUUGUCAAAUAUUCAAACCAAUGUGUUGCUCCUUCGACGAGUCGAGUUGUUUGGGAAUGCAGCUCAAAAUGGGUGGUAAAUUCCAUCUAAGGCUAAAUAUUGGCCAGAGACCGAUAGCGCACAAGUAGAGUGAUCGAAAGAUGAAAAGCACUUUGAAAAGAGAGUUAAAAAGCACGUGAAAUUGUUGAAAGGGAAGCGCUUGCGGUCAGAAUUUUAUCAUAGUUGUUCAACCGAUCAUUGAUCGGCUCAUUCUUCUAUGAUAAGGCCAACAUCAGUUUGAAUGAUCGUAUAAAGGCCCUAAGAAUGUGACCCUUUUUUUAGGGUGUUAUAGCUUUGGGUAUAAUGUGAUCAAUUUAGACUGAGGGAAGCGAAAUUUUCCAGGAUGUUGGCAUAAUGGUUGCAAGCGGCCCGUCUUGAAACACGGACCAAGGAGUCUAACAUUCACGCGAGUGUUUGAGUGUAAAACUCAUAACGCGAAAUGAAAGUGAACGGAGGUGGGAACCUUUGGGUGCACCAUCGACCGAUCCUGAUGUUUUCGGAAGGAUUUGAGUAAGAGCAUAGCUGUUGGGACCCGAAAGAUGGUGAACUAUGCGUGAAUAGGGUGAAGCCAGAGGAAACUCUGGUGGAGGCUCGCAGCGGUUCUGACGUGCAAAUCGAUCGUCAAAUUUGCGUAUAGGGGCGAAAGACUAAUCGAACCAUCUAGUAGCUGGUUCCUGC